Molecule: unclassified non-coding RNA, 285 nt
Filed under: uncultured fungus
Lineage: Eukaryota; Fungi
Description: sequence contains 5.8S rRNA gene
Rfam family: 5.8S ribosomal RNA (bases 1-53)
Source: RNAcentral
GAACGCAUCUUGCGCUCCUUGGUAUUCCGAGGAGCAUGCCUGUUUGAGUGUCGUGAAGUCUCUCGAGUCCGAGUCUCUUUUGACUCGGGGUUCGGAUUUGGACGUUUGCCGUUGUGAGACGGCUCGUCUCGAAAUGUAUUAGCCGUUCCCAUUUCCACAGACAACGGUGUGAUAAAUGAAAUUCGCUCGCGUUUUGUGGUAACGGGACGGCUCACAGUCGUCCUUUUUGGACAAUACACACGUCAUCUGACCUCAAAUCGGGUGAGACUACCCGCUGAACUUAAG